RNAcentral lists this long non-coding RNA (2277 nucleotides) under Equus caballus (horse). Its description in RNAcentral is "lncRNA (ENSECAG00000059509.1)". The record is from RNAcentral. Lineage: Eukaryota; Metazoa; Chordata; Mammalia; Perissodactyla; Equidae.
AUUGGAAAGCCACACGUUUAUUUUUAGUCUUUUCCCCAUCUCUCUCUCCUCCCUGUAUCUGCUCUCCUCUCUUCAUUGAAAUAUGAAGUGAGCCACAUCCAAUCUGUAGCCUUUCUAAGGUUCUAGCUCUAAGUGCGAGCUCACCAUAGAGACCAGAGUUACCAACAAUAGAAAAUACUGUGUCCAUGACAACCAGAAAACCCAAGGCAGUAGUUGAUUUUAACCGUCUAGUUCUAACCUUGUUAUUUAAAUUCCUCUUUUCCUCAAGGGCUGUACUUACUGCUUUAUAUAAAAGGCAGGCACACCGCUACACAGACAGCAAAAUUUCCGUACUGUCUGCUGGAAGAGGUAGACAUCAAUUACAGACCCCAACAGGAAGACAUCAGUUACUGGCCCCAAUGGGAAGAGACAUACCUUGCAUUCCCAAACAGGAAGUGGAGCUAUUUUACUACUCCAGCAGGAGGAAGGAAGUCUUCCUUCUUGCCCAGCAAUAAGCCAAGCCAAUGAGAAGCCAUCUUCACCUGAACUUUUACUUUCCUCCAGUGAACUUUCAUUAUUUCCUUGAGAUGACUUCCUUUCCUCGUCCCACCCUCCUUGCUAUAAAAGCCUUCCAUGUUGUGUAACCCCUCAGAGUGUCUCUGCUUGCUAGAUCAGAGGCUGCCCCAUGCAUGAAUGCUUCAAUAAAGCCAAUUAGAUCUUCAAAUUUACUUAGUCGAAUUUUGGUUUUUGACAAUACUAACUCACUCGCCACCCACUGGGGUUUCACCCUCAGAAGCACACACACAAAGCUCUCCAGUAAACAGUUAGUCAUCUACUCAAGCAACCUUAAGGGAAAACAAAUACCAAGCUCCAACAUGUAAAGAGCUUGGAAGUCAUCAUACCCAUGUGCACCAGAAAAAGCUAGACAAAUGGAAGAUAACUGACUGUUUUUGGAACUGUCAGAGAACUGAAGUCACAAGGCAAACCACUACGCCAAAUUCCGGAGAGACAGAUGCGUCCAGAAUUAUAGCUCCCGAGAUUUGCUGACCUGGAGUAGAAGCCAUUGGAAUCAACAAGCUGGUAGCAGCAGUUAAAUUGUUAUUUUGACGAACUGCAGGAAUCUGGGCGCAGACGUGCGUGAGAGUGAGACGCUCCGGUGGGCACCUACAGCCAUGGGGGUACCAAACUCACAUGGACUGUCACUCCAGGAACCUCACCAGGUUCCCACAGGGAUGAUCUGAGAAAGAUCCCCUCCUAGUCUGCAUGGGAGUAGGCAUCUUCAAGCUCACCUAGGCUCUUUUUUUUUUAAAUUGGUACCUAAGCUAACAUCUGUUGCCAAUCUUUUUUUUUUUUUCCUUCUUCUCCCCAAGCCCCCCAACACAUAGUUGUAUAUUCUAGUUGUAGGUACUCCUGGUUGUGCUAUGUGGGAUGCUGCCUCAGUGUGGCCUGAUGAGCGGUGCCGUGUCCACACCCAGGAUCCGAACUGGCGAAACCCUGGGCUGCCAAGUGGAGCGCAUGAACUUAACCACUCCACCACAGGGCUGGCCCCUCGCCCAGGCUCUUAUCCCUAACAAAGGCCCAGUCUCCAGGUGGAAAGAAGGCCUUACCUAUGGAAAAACAAAGAUGACAGCCGGCUUCUCAUCAGAGACCAUACAAGCAAAAAGAAAGUGGAGUGAAACCUUUAAAGUACAGAGAGAAAUUGCCAGACUAGGGACUGGCCCCGUGGCCGAGUGGUUCAGUUUGUCCACUCCGCUGUGGUGGCCCAGGGUUUUGCAGGUUUGGAUCCUGAGCAUGAACAUGGCGCCACUCAUCAAGCCGUGGUGAAGCGGCAUCCCACAUCCCACAAGUAGAAGGACCCACAACUAAAAAUACAUACAACUAUGUACUGGGGGAGAAGAAGGAAAAAGAAAUCUUUGAAAGAAAGAAGAAAGAAAGAAAGAAAUUGCCAGACUAGAAUUUUAUAUCCAGAGAAGUUAUCCUUCAAAAGUGAAGGAGACAUAAAUAUUUUCCCAGACAAGCAAGAACAUCAUUGCAGCAGGAAAUGUUAAAGAAGUUCUUCAGGAAGAAAACGAAUUAGGUCCGAAACUUGAAUGUACGCAAAGAAAGGAAGAGCACCAGAGAAGCAACAAAUGAAGGAAGAUUAGCCCUGAGCUAACAUCUGCUGCCAAUCCUCCUCUUUUCGCUGAGGAAGACUGGCCCCAAGCUAAUGUCCGUGCCCAUCUUCCACUACUUUAUAUGUGGGAUGCCUGCAACAGCACGGCUUAACAAUCAGUGCAUUGGUCUGCACCCCGGAUCUGA